UGGCGAACGGGUGAGUAAUGCAUCGGAACGUGCCCAAUCGUGGGGGAUAACGCAGCGAAAGCUGUGCUAAUACCGCAUACGAUCUAUGGAUGAAAGCGGGGGACCUUCGGGCCUCGCGCGAUUGGAGCGGCCGAUGUUAGAUUAGGUAGUUGGUGAGGUAAAGGCUCACCAAGCCUACGAUCUAUAGCUGGUCUGAGAGGACGACCAGCCACACUGGAACUGAGACACGGUCCAGACUCC
Molecule: ribosomal RNA, 240 nt
Filed under: uncultured bacterium
Lineage: Bacteria
Description: partial 16S ribosomal RNA
Rfam family: Bacterial small subunit ribosomal RNA
Source: RNAcentral